UUGGUCGAACUGUUGCUGGUCCUUCGGGACAUGUGCACGUUCUGCCACCAAUUUUAUCACCACCUGUGCACCUUUUGUAGACUAGAGACAGUUCUCGAGGCAACUCGGUGUGAGGACUGCUGUGCGAAAGCCGGCUGUCCUUGUGUUUCUCAGUCUAUGUUUCUAUACACCCCGAAUGUAUGUAUCAGAAUGUUUUGUUGGGCCUCCGUGCCUAUAAAUCAAAUACAACUUUCAACAACGGAUCUCUUGGCUCUCGCAUCGAUGAAGAACGCAGCGAAAUGCGAUAAGUAAUGUGAAUUGCAGAAUUCAGUGAAUCAUCGAAUCUUUGAACGCACCUUGCGCUCCUUGGUAUUCCGAGGAGCAUGCCUGUUUGAGUGUCAUUAAGUUCUCAACCAUACGAGUUUUUUUUGAACUUGUGUGGCUUGGAUUAUGGGAUUUUGCGGGCUUUCGUUAGUCGGCUAUCCUCAAAUGCAUUAGCAGUGCUUUCGUUGCUAAUCUCUGGUGUGAUAAUUAUCUACGCCGUUGAGAAGUGACUUUUAUUGAAGUGCUGCUUCUAACCGUCUUCACGGACAACUCUUGACAAUCUGACCUCAAAUCAGGUAGGACUACCCG
RNAcentral lists this ribosomal RNA (612 nucleotides) under uncultured Clitopilus. Its description in RNAcentral is "eukaryotic LSU rRNA". The stretch from base 227 to 380 matches the Rfam family "5.8S ribosomal RNA". The record is from RNAcentral. Lineage: Eukaryota; Fungi; Basidiomycota; Agaricomycetes; Agaricales; Entolomataceae.